This 465-nucleotide ribosomal RNA is filed under the name Vreelandella stevensii. RNAcentral describes it as "partial 16S ribosomal RNA". It matches the Rfam family "Bacterial small subunit ribosomal RNA", at positions 338 to 795 of the family's 1533-position model. Lineage: Bacteria; Pseudomonadati; Pseudomonadota; Gammaproteobacteria; Oceanospirillales; Halomonadaceae. The record is from RNAcentral.
CCUACGGGAGGCAGCAGUGGGGAAUAUUGGACAAUGGGGGCAACCCUGAUCCAGCCAUGCCGCGUGUGUGAAUAAGGCCCUCGGGUUGUAAAGCACUUUCAGUGAGGAAGAACGCCUGGUGGUUAAUACCCAUCAGGAAAGACAUCACUCACAGAAGAAGCACCGGCUAACUCCGUGCCAGCAGCCGCGGUAAUACGGAGGGUGCGAGCGUUAAUCGGAAUUACUGGGCGUAAAGCGCGCGUAGGUGGCUUGAUAAGCCGGUUGUGAAAGCCCCGGGCUCAACCUGGGAACGGCAUCCGGAACUGUCAAGCUAGAGUGCAGGAGAGGAAGGUAGAAUUCCCGGUGUAGCGGUGAAAUGCGUAGAGAUCGGGAGGAAUACCAGUGGCGAAGGCGGCCUUCUGGACUGACACUGACACUGAGGUGCGAAAGCGUGGGUAGCAAACAGGAUUAGAUACCCGUGUAGUC